RNAcentral lists this long non-coding RNA (1025 nucleotides) under Homo sapiens (human). RNAcentral describes it as "novel transcript". The record is from RNAcentral. Lineage: Eukaryota; Metazoa; Chordata; Mammalia; Primates; Hominidae.
GGGUUCCAAUGGGACCAUCCAACUCACCAGCAGGUAAAGGUGUGAGACAGGGAAAGGGUGCAUUUGCUGAAUAUCUAAAUCCACUCGAUAAUGGUGUCUGCAGGCUUUGAUCCUCAGUGCCAGAAUUGUGAGUUCAAAUGAAAUCUGAGGAUGGAAUUAACUCCAGGCAUUAAGAAGGGCAGAAGUGCAGUUUCUUUGUUGAAGGAGGCCACCCACUCGAACUUUCCUAGACGUCCCAUCUAGCAACCUCUAUUCGUAUCUGAUUGACACCCCCGAGUUGCAGGAGAGGCUGAGAAAUGUGUUGCUGCCCUGAAAGAAACUGAGGUCCUGUAACUACAAAGGAGAAGUAAACAUGGUUCCCUUCUGACAACAGCAAGGGCUUCUAAUGUGAAUGAGGCUCAGGGGAAUCUGCUAGCUAUCUCUGGCUUCCCUGGCACCAUGCAAAGACAUGCUCCUGUAGAAGAGAAUAUUGAAAGCCAUCCAGACCCCAGCUGUAGCAGCACUGGAAGCCAGAAUGGUUUUCUCAUGGAGAAUUCCUGAAGGACCUCCUAUUGAGCUCACCUGAGUGACAUGGAAGGAUGACAUGUGGGACAAUCGGAGUGAACCUGGGGUGGUGAGAACACUGCAGGCAUCCAGUGGAUUCCUUUAAAGCAGGUUGCUCAACUGUGGUCCUGUUGACGUUUCGGCUGGGUGAUUCUCCACUGUGGGGCCUAACCUGGAUGUUGUAGGAUGGUUGGGGGCAUCUCUGGCCCCCAACCACCACGUGCCAGGAACAUCCAGUGCUCAUCCCCAAUGUCUCCAGACACUGCCCAGGGUCCGAGUGCCAUCACUUUCAACUGAGAAUCACUGCUUAGAGGGAAGCAAUUUGUGGAUGAGAAGCAUGCAGGCUGUGACUCACAAUUUCAAACCAAUGAAGUUCAACCUCAGACUGUUGCAAAAAAAAGUACUCCGCACUCACCAACAGUCAACAUAAUUUCAUUCAGCCAAAUCUUGUGUAUUUGCUAGUAAACUGUGCACCGAGUGAA